GAUGAACGCUAGCGAUAGGCUUAACACAUGCAAGUCGAGGGGCAGCAUGGUCUUAGCUUGCUAAGACUGAUGGCGACCGGCGCACGGGUGCGUAACGCGUAUGCAACUUGCCUCACAGAGGGGGAUAACCCGUCGAAAGACGGACUAAUACCGCGUACACUUGGGAUAGGGCAUCCUAUCCCAAGGAAAUGAAAUUCGCUGUGAGAUAGGCAUGCGUCCCAUUAGCUAGUUGGUGAGGUAACGGCUCACCAAGGCGACGAUGGGUAGGGGAACUGAGAGGUUGAACCCCCACACUGGUACUGAGACACGGACCAG
RNAcentral lists this ribosomal RNA (315 nucleotides) under uncultured bacterium. RNAcentral describes it as "bacterial SSU rRNA". It matches the Rfam family "Bacterial small subunit ribosomal RNA", at positions 28 to 334 of the family's 1533-position model. The record is from RNAcentral.